GAGCAGGUCUGUCCGAGCGUCUGCCACCCCGACAGGCCGUCACCCCACGGUGACGGGAUUGAGGAGCUGCAAGGUUGUAUUKUGGUGCACUCCUUGAAGAUGUGUUGUGAAUGUUGGGCCUCGACGGCCACGAGACAGUUGUCACUGUGGCAAGUUGUUUCGCUCUCGUGGAGCGCGCUGCUGUUAGCGACCAUCUGGACCUCGGAUCAGG
This 211-nucleotide unclassified non-coding RNA is filed under the name Coscinoderma mathewsi. RNAcentral describes it as "sequence contains 5.8S rRNA gene, ITS2, 28S rRNA gene". Lineage: Eukaryota; Metazoa; Porifera; Demospongiae; Dictyoceratida; Spongiidae. The record is from RNAcentral.